Molecule: non-coding RNA, 24 nt
Filed under: Arabidopsis thaliana (thale cress)
Lineage: Eukaryota; Viridiplantae; Streptophyta; Magnoliopsida; Brassicales; Brassicaceae
Source: RNAcentral
ACUCAUUGGUGUGAUGAUGUGUCA